This 227-nucleotide unclassified non-coding RNA is filed under the name plant metagenome. RNAcentral describes it as "partial contains small subunit ribosomal RNA, internal transcribed spacer 1, and 5.8S ribosomal RNA". The record is from RNAcentral.
UUUCCGUAGGUGAACCUGCGGAAGGAUCAUUAAAAAAUUUUCCCCGUCCUCUCGCGGAUGAGUCCUAUUCUAAACCGUGUCUACAUACCUUUGUAUCUUUUGCGUGACGCCGACUCGUUGUUUGAUUCGGCUGACAGUGCCCGACAGAGAACCCCAACUCUUCUGUUUAGUAUUGUCUGAGUAAUAUAUAAUAGAUAAAACUUUCAACAAUGGAUCUCUUGGUUCUG